CCUACGGGAGGCAGCAGUGAGGGAUAUUGGUCAAUGGGCUUACGCCUGAACCAGCCAAGUCGCGUGAGGGAAGACUGCCCUAUGGGUUGUAAACCUCUUUUGUCAGGGAGCAACGCCGGCUACGUGUAGCCGGACUGAGAGUACCUGAAGAAACAGCAUCGGCUAACUCUGUGCCAGCAGCCGCGGUAAUACGGAGGAUGCGAGCGUUAUCCGGAUGUAUUGGGUUUAAAGGGUGGGGAGGCGGAAUGCCAAGUCAGCGGUAAAAUCGCGGGGCUCAACCUCGCUCCGCCGUUGAAACUGGCGUUGUUGAGUGGGCGAGAAGCAUGCGGAAUGCGUGGUGUAGCGGUGAAAUGCAUAGAUAUCACGCAGAACUCCGAUUGCGAAGGCAGCAUACCGGCGCCCAACUGACGCUGAAGCACGAAAGCGUGGGUAUCGAACAGGAUUAGAUACCCUUGUAGUC
Molecule: ribosomal RNA, 460 nt
Filed under: uncultured bacterium
Lineage: Bacteria
Description: partial 16S ribosomal RNA
Rfam family: Bacterial small subunit ribosomal RNA
Source: RNAcentral